RNAcentral lists this ribosomal RNA (468 nucleotides) under uncultured bacterium. RNAcentral's name for it is "partial 16S ribosomal RNA". It matches the Rfam family "Bacterial small subunit ribosomal RNA", at positions 28 to 507 of the family's 1533-position model. The record is from RNAcentral.
GAUGAACGCUGGCGGCGUGCUUAACACAUGCAAGUCGAACGGUGAAGGCGGAGCUUGCUCUGCUGGAUCAGUGGCGAACGGGUGAGUAACACGUGAGCAAUCUGCCCCUGACUCUGGGAUAAGCGCUGGAAACGGCGUCUAAUACUGGAUACGAGCUGCGAAGGCAUCUUCAGCAGCUGGAAAUAACUUCGGUCAGGGAUGAGCUCGCGGCCUAUCAGCUUGUUGGUGAGGUAACGGCUCACCAAGGCGUCGACGGGUAGCCGGCCUGAGAGGGUGACCGGCCACACGAGGACUGAGACACGGACCAGACUCCAACGGGAGGCAGCAGUGGGGAAUAUUGCACAAUGGGCGAGAGCCUGAUGCAGCAACGCCGCGUGAGUGACGACGGCCUUCGGGUUGUAAACCUCUUUUGGCAGGGAAGAAGCGAAAGUGACGGUACCUGCAGAAAAAGCGCCGGCUAACUACGUG